This 74-nucleotide transfer RNA is filed under the name Nitrospirota bacterium. RNAcentral's name for it is "Nitrospirae bacterium tRNA-Gln". It matches the Rfam family "tRNA". From Rfam's summary of the family: Transfer RNA (tRNA) molecules are approximately 80 nucleotides in length. Their secondary structure includes four short double-helical elements and three loops (D, anti-codon, and T loops). Further hydrogen bonds mediate the characteristic L-shaped molecular structure. tRNAs have two regions of fundamental functional importance: the anti-codon, which is responsible for specific mRNA codon recognition, and the 3' end, to which the tRNAs corresponding amino acid is attached (by aminoacyl-tRNA synthetases). tRNAs cope with the degeneracy of the genetic code in two manners: having more than one tRNA (with a specific anti-codon) for a particular amino acid; and 'wobble' base-pairing, i.e. permitting non-standard base-pairing at the 3rd anti-codon position. Lineage: Bacteria; Pseudomonadati; Nitrospirota. RNAcentral also lists the same sequence under 1 other name. The record is from RNAcentral.
UGGGGGAUCGUCUAAUGGCAGGACGGAUGGCUCUGAACCAUCUAAUCUAGGUUCGAUCCCUAGUCCCCCAGCCA